This 111-nucleotide transfer RNA is filed under the name Aspergillus ellipticus CBS 707.79. It matches the Rfam family "tRNA". From Rfam's summary of the family: Transfer RNA (tRNA) molecules are approximately 80 nucleotides in length. Lineage: Eukaryota; Fungi; Ascomycota; Eurotiomycetes; Eurotiales; Aspergillaceae. The record is from Rfam by way of RNAcentral.
GGCAAGAUGGCCGAGCGGUCUAAGGCGCUAGGGUCAGGUUAUCUGAUCAUACAUGUUCCCCGAACAUUCCUAGUCAUUAAUUUGGCGUGGGUUCGAAUCCCACUCUUGUCA